RNAcentral lists this ribosomal RNA (290 nucleotides) under uncultured phototrophic eukaryote. RNAcentral describes it as "partial 16S ribosomal RNA". It matches the Rfam family "Bacterial small subunit ribosomal RNA", at positions 1085 to 1382 of the family's 1533-position model. The record is from RNAcentral.
UCCCGCACGAGCGCAACCCUUGUUUUUAGUUGCCUUUUAUGGAACUCUAAAAAGACUGCUGGUUAUAAACCGGAAGGAAGGUGGGGAUGACGUCAAGUCAGCAUGCCCCUUACACCCUGGGCUACACACGUGCUACAUUGGGCGAGACAAUGAGAUGCAAAUCUGCAAAGACUAGCUAAUCUAUAAACUCGUUCUAAGUUCGGAUUGUAGGCUGCAACUCGCCUACAUGAAGGUGGAAUCGCUAGUAAUCGCUGGUCAGCUAUACAGCGGUGAAUUCGUUCCCGGGCCUU